UUUUUUUUUUUUACACCCAAUAGCAAAAUUUUAAAAUUUUAAAGGAAUAUCAUAAGUUCCAUGCCACUGGAUCAUCCAUCCUCCCCCAUCAACUUCCUGAAGAAUGCAAAUUGUUUUAAACAGCAGCUACACAAACUGAACGCUUCUUUUUAUAGUCUACAGGAGGUGUCACCCACAACCAGCAGUCUCUGCCAUGUUUUCUUAGAUAAAAAAAAAAAGUGGACAAAGGAUCAUAUACGCAUAUAUUUAAAAAAAACAGAAGCCAAAUAAACAAAAAGGCAUUUUGCCUGAGUCAUCUAUACGUAUUACAAUUUUCUGCCUCAAUCAUGUUUACGUACUGAAUUUUUCAAAAUUUUAAAGCCCUGUGAACCCUUAAACAGUACAGCAGCAGCAGGAGCUCACGUAAAUUUCAGUGAAGAAAGACUCCAGGGGCUGGCCUUACAACUUAUUGUACAUUUACUAGAUAGAUGUUCUCCAUGGCAAGAUUUUAUUACUUCAUAGUAGUCUAAUUCAUUAAAAUAUAUCUAUCAAUGAUCAGCAAUAGUUCACAUACUUGAAGUACAGGCAGGUUCAAUUUUUCCAUGAAAAGAAUAACCACCUGACAAAUAAAAAGUUGCUUCUGGAGCUGAGUCAUUUAUAUUUAUUAUUGAAAUUAAGGAGUCCUGCUCAACGAUGCCAAAUUUAGUCUGUUGUAUUCAGCACAUCAAUACCAGACGAUUCUUUUUCUCUGCAGUCCAACACAGAAGUGAUGAAAUAUAUUCUGUGGGCAUUUUCACUGGAGAAGAGAGAGGUGGUGGAUGGACGUAGGCACUGAAACUGCUCCCUGUGAUGCUUCCUGGAGUAGGAGAGAAAUAUUUGUUGGGGGCCUUAUAGGGGAAACAUAGCAGACACCACAGCAAACCAAAUCUAAACUUCUCAGGCUUCCAGACUCCAGUGGGUUAGAGUAUGCUUCCCAUACCAGUCUCCCCAACUUGCUCUUAAACUGCUUACAAUAUAUCCAAGAGUUUUAUAACCAUAAUGCAAACUAGCAGAUGAAAGCAGAAGGAAACUAACGGAUACAUGUCAGUUACAAAAUUAUCUUCAAACAGUAUCUCAUUUUGGCAGGUCAUUAAAUGGCAGGUCAAAAAUAUCUGUUGCCUCCUGGCAAUGUAAGGAGAGUACCACCAGUUAGAUGCUAUCAAACAUUUAUCUUUUUUUUCCCCUGUUCCCCAUCAGAGUUUCCUGAUCAAUUUAUCACAUAUGGUUUAUCAUUAAAAUCUGGCAGUCUUCAACGAAUUUACAUUUUUGCAUCUAAAGCCUCCUUAACUCCCUAAAAAACUGUAAUACUCACACUUAGAGCUCACAUCAUUGCUAUUACUGAUACAGCACACACUCCUUUUAUAACAGCAUUAGCUAGCACAUAAUUUUAUUUCCAACAACGGUCAAACAAAGUACCAUGUGAAAUUACCAAAAAUUAUUUCAGACCAUGAGAUAGCAGAGUUGCUGAAAAUGUCUUCUUGUCUAAAACAGAUAAAGGUAGAAAACAAUAUGAAUUAACACAGCUGCAAAUCUUUACUGUCUUGCUGCUGGUGAGGUUCUCUUCUUCUGAAGAUCCAAAGACUUUAAAUGGGUGAUGCUCGUCCCCAGUUUAAAAAAAAAUCCAGGACAGAUUUUAUGUGAACACACAAUAAGAAUCAGCUAACACAUUUCAGAUAGCAUGCAGAGCAUUAUUAAGAACUGACUAGGAACACAAACUUGUCAUUACCAGCAGAAUUGACUUCUGUGAUAUUUCAACUUUUCCCUACAGCCCCAGAAGCUGCCACUGGACUGCAUCCAAAUUCAACUGUCAAUUUCAAAAAUGAAAAAAAAAAAAAAAAAGAAAAGAAAUCAUAAUUUUUUAUGGUUGUGAGUGACAUUUAUGUGAGAAAAAAAUGGAAAAGUUAACAUCUUGAAUGCAAGAAUAAUGAAAAAAAAUCAACAGUUGUUUUUUAAAUCUCAAGAGCCUUCACUGGGGAGAUGAACGCACCUUACCUUCCUCUACUACCUCCUACUGAAAUGAAUGGCAAUUAGCUGUUGACUGGUGGGUCUUGGAUUAGGUAUCCAAGCAUGAAGUGGGCUGAUAAAGAGACCAUGUGUUUUUGUUCAAGCACUACAGACUUUCUCCUCCUAUUACUAUUAAUAAGUCAUUUUUUAAAACCAGCUUCAUGAGCAAGUAGCUUUUUUUGCAUUCAGUAUCACAGAUGAUGCCUGCAUCCAGCUCUCUGUAUAUCCUAGAUCAGAUUUUCCUUUUCUUUCUCAGACAGUAUCUCAGCAACGGUGAACUCAUUAGCUUUUGCAAGAUAAUCAAUUCUUUCACAUAGCUAUAAAGUAUAAUAAAAAUAUAAUUCUUAAAGCAUGAUGAUGCUUACAAUAGUGGAAGAAUGUCUGGAUUUUUUUAAGAUUAAGAAAUUGGUCCUGAAAAAACAGACCACAUCUAUACUGAAGUGAGUGACUUUUGCCCCUGAUGGUCUGCUGGACUGGAUGGAGGAGACUGCACAGAGAUUCAGUGCUGUGGGCAAAUAUACAACAAGAGCUUGUGUUAAUCAUCAGAAGUUCCAAAUGCAAAGGAGAAGUGGGUAGCAUGACAGCAGGCUACCCUAGGCCUAGGACCUUCAGGACAGAUGAAGUGGUAGGAUUGCUACCUGCUACCCUGUGUGACAAGGAGAGGAGCUUACAGAGCCAUUUUAGCAGAUGCCUUAGGAACUGCAUAUGAUUUUUUAACACUAGAUUUCUACUGAUCAAAGUACUUUCAGUGCAGUUCUACUUGUAGACAUCUUCUUUCAACACUCACUCACCACAAGGAUGGUAGCUCCCCCAUUCACCAUACAGGGCCAGCCACCAAUAUUCCCUUGUUACAUCUGUAUAGAAUUUUAAUAGUCUUUCAUGUUCUGCCCACACACAUGGGAUGGCAGUCUUUUAACCACCUGCCAUGAGAAGAUUAUUUCAUUGUCCAUAAUGGAAAAGGCCAAACAUUAAAAUUGUUCAGGAAUCUUAAUAUGCCCGAAUUUGACACUUAUGAUCAAGAGCUGCCAAUAUAAAUUUGUAGCAAAACGUUUGCUUGUCUGGUUUGAGGCAGGUACAGUGAUGUUUCUACCAAUUCCUGUAACAGAAAUUCCUGGCAAAUGUUUUCCUCCACUCAAUCUGAAACAAUGUAGGUUACUGGGAAAAGAAGAAGCCUUGGAAGGCAUCCAAAUUACUCAAUCAUUCUGACAGCUAUGGGAGGCCAACUGCUGGAAAGAUUUUGUGAGAGCUAAAUGAAGCUGUUCUAACAAGACAUGUAUAAGCACAAUAUGAUACUUCGGCACAGAUCAGGUCACAACCUUUAGGCGCUAAAGUAAUAUUUGCAUGUUGAGCAGGAUGUUACCUUCCAGUCUGCCACUUUGUUUUGCUCAUUUUUUAAAAAUUCUCUUAAAUUCCUGGUAAUAGUAACACACUGAGCAUUGCUUCAUUGAUGAAGGAACUCAAGAAUACAUUACUGAUUUAUUUAUAAGCACUGAGAGGUGGUGGCAGAUCUGAGAACAGAGCUUUCAACUUUCUGUUCCAGUUUUGCUUGCAACACAAGAAAAUUCUGAUUUUCCACAACCCCAGCCUUAACUGCAAGUUUUUAACUUCUUUCAACUUUGCUCCUUCUUGUGGCCUCUGCCUAAUGUAUUUGUCCUUACAGGAGCGGGACUGACCAUGGGAAUUAGAAAGACUUUAGGCAAUUCAAACUGCUAUAUGGAUAAAAAGACCAGAUGAGAGCAGCCUGAAGUGCUACAGAGAACAAGUACCAUUAAUGGGAACAAAUACAGGCCAUACUGUGUAAUUUCCAUUAGCUCUGGGACAACAGAGAAUCUAGCAUAAUAAACGUCACAUAUAAUUUAUCAAUACCCAGCAUUCUCUUUACAGCACUCGAACAUUAAGAUUUAAUAUGCUUUUUAAGUUUUGUACAGAGUCCCAGAGAAGUCACUGGGUUCUCAAAUACUGGAAGUGAUCCCAUUAAAUAAUAAAAAUAUUUAAACAUGUGUGCAAAAGAGAGAAUACAAUAAACUAUAGUCCCAGUGAUUUUUCUACCUGUUUAAGUGUUAAACACAGGUCAUAUUUUGCAACAUGAGUGCUCUGAGUUAACAGUCCAUGGUCAAACAUGCUUCACCAGCUGCCAGCUAACUCAUCUACAGUGAAGGAGAGAAUCACAGAAUCAUAGAAUAGUUAGAAUUGGAAAGGACUUAAGAUCACUUAGCUCCAAUGCCCCUGCCAUGGGCAGGCAUGCCUCACCCUUUGAUCAUGACAUCCCAAAUGGGACUGUCCACCAUUACUGCCCAUGGCUCCAUACACUGCAAAGAACCUACAAAAGCACAGCCUCCAUCUUUUACAGGGUCUACACAACUUGAAGACCUGUCCUCUUGGGCCAGAUCUCAUCCAAAGCAUUGUUUACUAUGAAACUUCCAAGGAAAACCAAUGUUAUUGUGAAAUGUUCUUCCCUGCAAUUAAAUGGAGAUUUUGGAGUCUGACAAGCUAGGCCAUAUUACUAACAAAAUGCUGGGUUAGGGAUAUGGUUAGUGUUAAAGUUAAGGUUAGGAUUCAUUCUGAGUGAGCAUUUUUAUUUUAUUCCAGGGUAAGUAUUUGUUAAUUUAUGAAGUAUCUGAAAAUAACAAUUUUUUACCUGCAGUUUGUCUCUCAUUUGCUGCUUUGUGAAUUUUAUUUUUUUUAUAUACACUUUAAAGUCAGGGUAGGGAUUCCAAAAGGUUUGCCUGUGUUUUCUUUCAAGAUUAAUAAUCUGCAAGCUAACUAGGAGGAUGAUGCAGCCAGUAACUUACUCUCUGAUGUUUACAGCUAUCCCAAGAUGCCUACAACUCAAGAAAUCAUCAGCCUUCAUGGUUGUUUAUCAAAGCAUUCAAAACACGAAGUCAUAUAAAAAUUAUUUUUGAUUUUCUAAAUGAGUGCCUAACCGCUCAGCGUUUAUACAUACCUAUAUCUACAUUGCUUAUGUAGAAUGACCACUACAAGGUCAUCUGUGCAACUGCUUCCUUUUCAAUUUUACCCAAACUAAAGACCUAGAAUAUCAAGAGACGGGGUAGGGAACCCAGGGUGGAUAAGGUUUAGUUGUUUGCUGUUUUUUUCAGUGAAAGAACUAAGGGGAAUAAAACAGAGUUAGCAAGCAGCCAGCCUCAAAGCAAGCAAGAGGAGGUAGCUGUAAGCAGGUAAGCUGUGGGACUCCCUGCCAAAAAU
Molecule: long non-coding RNA, 5226 nt
Organism: Strigops habroptila (Kakapo)
Lineage: Eukaryota; Metazoa; Chordata; Aves; Psittaciformes; Psittacidae
Source: Ensembl